RNAcentral lists this ribosomal RNA (723 nucleotides) under uncultured bacterium. Its description in RNAcentral is "bacterial SSU rRNA". It matches the Rfam family "Bacterial small subunit ribosomal RNA", at positions 65 to 793 of the family's 1533-position model. The record is from RNAcentral.
AGCACUUUUUUAGAACUCUUCGGAGGGAAGAGAGGGUGACCUAUCGGCGGACGGGUGAGUAACGCGUGGGCAACCUGCCUUACACAGGGGGAUAACAAUUAGAAAUGAUUGCUAAUACCGCAUAAGACCCCAGUACCGCAUGGUACAGAGGUAAAAACUGAGGUGGUGUAAGAUGGGCCCGCGUCUGAUUAGGUAGUUGGUGGGGUAGAAGCCUACCAAGCCGACGAUCAGUAGCCGACCUGAGAGGGCGACCGGCCACAUUGGGACUGAGACACGGCCCAAACUCCUACGGGAGGCAGCAGUGGGGAAUAUUGCACAAUGGGGGUAACCCUGAUGCAGCGACGCCGCGUGAGUGAGGAAGUAUUUCGGUAUGUAAAGCUCUAUCAGCAGGGAAGAAAAUGACGGUACCUGACUAAGAAGCCCCGGCUAACUACGUGCCAGCAGCCGCGGUAAUACGUAGGGGGCAAGCGUUAUCCGGAUUUACUGGGUGUAAAGGGAGCGUAGACGGAUAAGCAAGUCUGAUGUGAAAAUCCGGGGCCCAACCCCGGAAUUGCAUUGGAAACUGCAUAUCUAGAGUGUCGGAGAGGCAAGUGGAAUUCCUGGUGUAGCGGUGAAAUGCGUAGAUAUCAGGAGGAACACCAGUGGCGAAGGCGGCUUGCUGGACGAUGACUGACGUUGAGGCUCGAAAGCGUGGGGAGCAAACAGGAUUAGAUACCCUGGUAG